Molecule: long non-coding RNA, 768 nt
Organism: Suricata suricatta (meerkat)
Lineage: Eukaryota; Metazoa; Chordata; Mammalia; Carnivora; Herpestidae
Exons: 7
Source: RefSeq, a predicted model, not a curated record
UUAGGUCAUCUGUUGAUUGAGGAAGCAUGAUAGGAAACUUGGGAAGAGCAAUGACUUGAGGUUUGGAAUAGCACCUGAGUCAUGGAAAAGGAAGCCAACCAAGCAAGAGUGAAAGGAUCGCCAAGUAGUGCUAAAGGUCAAGAAGUUUGACUUCUCCAUCAAUGCCAUCUUCUCUCUUGGUAGUUCCAUGGAAAAAAUGAGGAGUGAACAUGCUCACCUCCUGAUUUUCACAGUGACAAACAGGAAGCAAGGCCAUCAGCUAACAGUGAGGGGGAAGAGCUGGAAUUAUGAAGAGUUGCGACAGCCCAGGAGAGUGGGAGAGUGAAAGGACUUAAGAAACAUAGUGGCUUUGUCAUUCAUUGAGGCUAAUUGUAAGCUUCAGGAUACAAAAAGAAAAAAAAAUCAAGCAAACACCAUGCAUUAACAAAUCCUGGCUAAAGCAAGAGCGGGCAGGCACCUGGAUGUCUGUUAACUAGCUGCGCCUCAGAACUCCUGCAGAGGGUUAUGAGACUGGAUCUGAUGCACUUGUGACUCUACUCACAGAUGACAAUGGGGAACCCCUGCAGAUGGCAGCAGCACUUCAAAUUUCACCAGCCAGGAAGGGCCUGUGGUUCAUACAACCAGAAAUCAAAAGACGCCGGCAGAAUCCUUAUCCCAGUCCCUGUGUCCUGACCAUUUCCAGCCACUAUUCCAGAUUCCAAUUUUUUACAGCUUCAAGUCCUGCACAGCGUAGAGCAUGGACAGAAGGAAAUAAAGCCAAGGAAUGUC